AUGGGAACGCGAAGAACCUUACCUACUCUUGACAUCCAGAGAACUUUCCAGAGAUGGAUUGGUGCCUUCGGGAACUCUGAGACAGGUGCUGCAUGGCUGUCGUCAGCUCGUGUGUGAAUGUUGGGUUAAGUCCGCAACGAGCGCAACCGUUAUCCUUGUUGCCAGCGGUUAGGCCGGGAACUCAAAGGAGACUGCCAGUGAUAAACUGGAGGAAGGUGGGGAUGACGUCAAGUCAUCAUGGCCCUUACGACCAGGGCUACACACGUGCUACAAUGGCAUAUACAAAGAGAAGCGACCUCGCGAGAGCAAGCGGACCUCAUAAAGUAUGUCGUAGUCCGGAUUGGAGUCUGCAACUCGACUCCAUGAAGUCGGAAUCGCUAGUAAUCGUAGAUCAGAAUGCUACGGUGAAUACGUUCCCGGGUCUUGUACACACCGAGUCGUGGGAGGCAAGGGCACGACAGGGGGGGAUA
Molecule: ribosomal RNA, 470 nt
Filed under: uncultured bacterium
Lineage: Bacteria
Description: bacterial SSU rRNA
Rfam family: Bacterial small subunit ribosomal RNA
Source: RNAcentral